This 429-nucleotide ribosomal RNA is filed under the name bacterium. Its description in RNAcentral is "partial 16S ribosomal RNA". It matches the Rfam family "Bacterial small subunit ribosomal RNA", at positions 355 to 776 of the family's 1533-position model. The record is from RNAcentral.
UAGGGAAUCUUCGGCAAUGGGGGCAACCCUGACCGAGCAACGCCGCGUGAGUGAAGAAGGUUUUCGGAUCGUAAAGCUCUGUUGUAAGAGAAGAACGUGUGUGAGAGUGGAAAGUUCACACAGUGACGGUAACUUACCAGAAAGGGACGGCUAACUACGUGCCAGCAGCCGCGGUAAUACGUAGGUCCCGAGCGUUGUCCGGAUUUAUUGGGCGUAAAGCGAGCGCAGGCGGUUUAAUAAGUCUGAAGUUAAAGGCAGUGGCUUAACCAUUGUUCGCUUUGGAAUCUGUUAAACUUGAGUGCAGAAGGGGAGUGUGGAAUUCCAUGUGUAGCGGUGAAAUGCGUAGAUAUAUGGAGGAACACCGGUGGCGAAAGCGGCUCUCUGGUCUGUAACUGACGCUGAGGCUCGAAAGCGUGGGGAGCAAACAGG